Molecule: ribosomal RNA, 245 nt
Filed under: uncultured bacterium
Lineage: Bacteria
Description: partial 16S ribosomal RNA
Rfam family: Bacterial small subunit ribosomal RNA
Source: RNAcentral
UACGUAGGGUGCGAGCGUUGUUCGGAAUCACUGGGCGUAAAGGGCGCGUAGGCGGGUGUGAAAGUCGAUUGUGAAAGCCCCGGGCUUAACCUGGGAACUGCAGUCGAUACUACAUAUCUUGAGUGCUUGAGAGGAUGGUGGAAUUCCUGGUGUAGAAGUGAAAUUCGUAGAUAUCAGGAGGAACACCGGAGGCGAAGGCGGCCAUCUGGCAAGACACUGACGCUGAGGCGCGAAAGUGCGGGGAG